RNAcentral lists this ribosomal RNA (431 nucleotides) under uncultured bacterium. Its description in RNAcentral is "partial 16S ribosomal RNA". It matches the Rfam family "Bacterial small subunit ribosomal RNA", at positions 29 to 507 of the family's 1533-position model. The record is from RNAcentral.
AACGAACGCUGGCGGCAGGCCUAACACAUGCAAGUCGAGCGCCCUUUCGGGGGAGCGGCGGACGGGUGAGUAACGCGUGGGAAUAUGCCCUUCUCUACGGAAUAGCCUCGGGAAACUGAGAGUAAUACCGUAUACGCCCUGUGGGGGAAAGAUUUAUCGGGGAAGGAUUAGCCCGCGUUGGAUUAGGUAGUUGGUGGGGUAAUGGCCUACCAAGCCGACGAUCCAUAGCUGGUUUGAGAGGAUGAUCAGCCACACUGGGACUGAGACACGGCCCAGACUCCUACGGGAGGCAGCAGUGGGGAAUCUUAGACAAUGGUGGCAACCCUUAUCUAGCCAUGCCGCGUGAGUGAUGAAGGCCUUAGGGUUGUAAAGCUCUUUCAGCUGGGAAGAUAAUGACGGUACCAGCAGAAGAAGCCCCGGCUAACUCCGUG